UGCAGUUAAAAAGCUCGUAGUUGAACCUUGGGCCUGGCUGGCCGGUCCGCCUCACCGCGUGCACUGGUCCGACCGGGUCUUUCCUUNUGAGGAGCCGCAUGCCCUUCACUGGGUGUGUCGGGGAAUCAGGACUUUUACUUUGAAAAAAUUAGAGUGUUCAAAGCAGGCCUAUGCUCGAAUACAUUAGCAUGGAAUAAUAGAAUAGGACGUGUGGUUCUAUUUUGUUGGUUUCUAGGACCGCCGUAAUGAUUAAUAGGGAUAGUCGGGGGCAUCAGUAUUCAAUUGUCAGAGGUGAAAUUCUUGGAUUUAUUGAAGACUAACUACUGCGAAAGCAUUUGCCAAGGAUGUUUUCAUUAAUCAGUGAACGAAAGUUAGGGGAUCGAAGA
This 386-nucleotide ribosomal RNA is filed under the name Phialocephala dimorphospora. RNAcentral's name for it is "SSU rRNA". It matches the Rfam family "Eukaryotic small subunit ribosomal RNA", at positions 614 to 1004 of the family's 1831-position model. Lineage: Eukaryota; Fungi; Ascomycota; Leotiomycetes; Helotiales; Mollisiaceae. The record is from RNAcentral.